CGCGCAAGCGGUCCAUUCAGUCGCUGGUGAAAGCCCCACGCUCAACGUGGGAAGGUCCGGCGAGACGGGUGGACUGGAGGCAGGGAGAGGUCGGUGGAAUUCCGGGUGUAGUGGUGAAAUGCGUAGAGAUCCGGAGGAACACCAGAGGCGAAGGCGGCCGACUGGACCUGACCUGACGCUGAGGCGCGAAGGCGUGGGGAGCGAACG
RNAcentral lists this ribosomal RNA (207 nucleotides) under uncultured bacterium. RNAcentral's name for it is "partial 16S ribosomal RNA". It matches the Rfam family "Bacterial small subunit ribosomal RNA", at positions 568 to 774 of the family's 1533-position model. The record is from RNAcentral.